RNAcentral lists this ribosomal RNA (492 nucleotides) under uncultured bacterium. Its description in RNAcentral is "partial 16S ribosomal RNA". It matches the Rfam family "Bacterial small subunit ribosomal RNA", at positions 28 to 507 of the family's 1533-position model. The record is from RNAcentral.
GAUGAACGCUAGCUACAGGCUUAACACAUGCAAGUCGAGGGGAAACGGCAUCGAAAGCUUGCUUUUGAUGGGCGUCGACCGGCGCACGGGUGAGUAACGCGUAUCCAACCUGCCCAUCACUUGGGAAUAACCUUGCGAAAGUAAGACUAAUGCCCAAUGACAUCCCACGAAGGCAUCCGAAUGGGAUUAAAGAUUUAUCGGUGAUGGAUGGGGAUGCGUCUGAUUAGCUUGUUGGCGGGGUGACGGCCCACCAAGGCAACGAUCAGUAGGGGUUCUGAGAGGAAGGUCCCCCACAUUGGAACUGAGACACGGUCCAAACUCCUACGGGAGGCAGCAGUGAGGAAUAUUGGUCAAUGGGCGAGAGCCUGAACCAGCCAAGUAGCGUGCAGGAUGACGGCCCUAUGGGUGGUAAACUGCUUUUAGAAGGGAAUAAAGUGGGUCACGUGUGACUUUUUGCAUGUACCUUAUGAAUAAGGACCGGCUAAUUCCGUG